GCUAUGCCCUGAACAUUGAUUAGGCCUUUAUACAAUGCCUUCCGCCAGAGAACUACAAGUGAAAAACUUGAAACUCAAAGGACUUGGCGGUGUCCCAUAUCGACCUAGAGGAGCCUGUCCUAUAAUCGAUAACCCCCGCUCCACCUAACCUCUGCUAGCCAUGCCAGCCUAUAUACCGCCGUCGACAGUCUACACCAUGAGGGUCCAACAGUAGACAAAAUAGUCAUACCACUAACACGUCAGGUCAAGGUGUAGCAAAUGCUGAGGUAGAGAUUGGCUACAUUUUUUAUUCUAAAAAACCACGAAAUGCACCAUGAAACCCCCGCACGAAGGUGAAUUUAGUAGUAAAAUAAAUAAGAGAAUUUGUUUUAACAACGCUCUGGGACGCGCACACACCGCCCGUCACCCUCCUCAACAAUCUAAUUUAUCUUACAUAAACCAAGAUAUUAACCACUAGAGGAGGU
This 464-nucleotide ribosomal RNA is filed under the name Australolacerta australis. RNAcentral's name for it is "partial 12S small subunit ribosomal RNA". It matches the Rfam family "Bacterial small subunit ribosomal RNA", at positions 794 to 1482 of the family's 1533-position model. The record is from RNAcentral. Lineage: Eukaryota; Metazoa; Chordata; Lepidosauria; Squamata; Lacertidae.